This 68-nucleotide transfer RNA is filed under the name Stomatella planulata. RNAcentral describes it as "tRNA-Leu". It matches the Rfam family "tRNA". From Rfam's summary of the family: Transfer RNA (tRNA) molecules are approximately 80 nucleotides in length. Their secondary structure includes four short double-helical elements and three loops (D, anti-codon, and T loops). The record is from RNAcentral. Lineage: Eukaryota; Metazoa; Mollusca; Gastropoda; Trochida; Trochidae.
GCCAGGAUGGCAGAGUAGUGCAUUAGGUUUAAGCCCUAAAUAUAGAAAUUAAAUUUUUCUUUCUGGUA